AGGUCGACCUUGGCUCAAGAUGAACGCUGGCGGCGUGCCUAAUACAUGCAAGUAAAACGCUGAAGCUUGGUGCUUGCACCGACCGGAUGAGUUGCGAACGGGUGAGUAACGCGUAGGUAACCUGCCUCUUACCGGGGGAUAACUAUUGUAAACGAUAGCUAAUACCGCAUAUAAGUCGAUAUCGCAUGAUAUUGAUUUGAAAGGUGCAAAUGCAUCACUAAGAGAUGGACCUGCGUUGUAUUAGCUAGUUGGUGAGGUAACGGCUCACCAAGGCAACGAUACAUAGCCGACCUGAGAGGGUGAUCGGCCACACUGGGACUGAGACACGGCCCAGACUCCUACGGGAGGCAGCAGUAGGGAAUCUUCGGCAAUGGACGGAAGUCUGACCGAGCAACGCCGCGUGAGUGAAGAAGGUUUUCGGAUCGUAAAGCUCUGUUGUAAGAGAAGAACGAGUGUGAGAGUGGAAAGUUCACACUGUGACGGUAACUUACCAGAAAGGGACGGCUAACUACGUGCCAGCAGCCGCGGUAAUACGUAGGUCCCGAGCGUUAUCCAGAUUUAUUGGGCGUAAAGCGAGCGCAGGCGGUUAGAUAAGUCUGAAGUUAAAGGCUGUGGCUUAACCAUAGUACGCUUUGGAAACUGUUUAACUUGAGUGCAGAAGGGGAGAGUGGAAUUCCAUGUGUAGCGGUGAAAUGCGUAGAUAUAUGGAGGAACACCGGUGGCGAAAGCGGCUCUCUGGUCUGUAACUGACGCUGAGGCUCGAAAGCGUGGGGAGCAAACCAGGAUUAGAUACCCUGGUAGUCCACGCCGUAAAC
This 815-nucleotide ribosomal RNA is filed under the name uncultured bacterium. Its description in RNAcentral is "bacterial SSU rRNA". It matches the Rfam family "Bacterial small subunit ribosomal RNA", at positions 10 to 807 of the family's 1533-position model. The record is from RNAcentral.